This 246-nucleotide ribosomal RNA is filed under the name Rhizophagus intraradices. Lineage: Eukaryota; Fungi; Glomeromycota; Glomeromycetes; Glomerales; Glomeraceae. The record is from RNAcentral.
CAGUCGCAUCUGUUGGGAUUCAGCCUGGCUUCUGCCUGGUGUAUUUCCUUUCCGAUGGGUCAGCAUCAGUUUUGACCAAGGGAAAAAGACAUUUGGAAUGUGGCACCUCCGGGUGUGUUAUAGCCCCUUGCUGUAUACACUGGUUGGGAUUGAGGUUUCAGUGCACGCUUCGGGGCUACCUGUCUGGUCUCUGAUCGUUGCUCUGGUGCCGAAAGCUUGCUUACGGUUAUCAAAGUCGAUGGUCAA